UCGUGGACGACAGAGGGUUGCGGGGGAC
Molecule: small RNA, 28 nt
Filed under: Bombyx mori (domestic silkworm)
Lineage: Eukaryota; Metazoa; Arthropoda; Insecta; Lepidoptera; Bombycidae
Description: ovarian small RNA-29308
Source: RNAcentral